CCGCAGGCUCCAGCGUCACUGUCACCGCCAUCCCCGGCGCACGGCCGCGGCCCCGACUCGACUGAGCCACUGCAGAUGUUCCAGUUGGCAAAGCUACAUCAUAGAAAAAAGCCUGGAUCCAUAAGUCAAGGCUCAAAUAAGAGCUAAUGAAGACUGGUGCGUAACUUGCUUCAAAAUGUGAGGAGAGUGACGAAACUUGGGUGCAACCAAGAUGUCCUUCAGUAGGUGAAUGGAUAAACAAGCUUUGGUACUUCCAGACAGUGGAAUAUUAUUCAGCAAUAAAAAGAAAAUGAGCUAUCAAGCUAUGAAAAGACAUGGAGGAGCCUUAAAUGCAUAUUACUAAGUGAAAGACACCAAUCUAAAAAGGCUGCAUUCUGUAUGAUUCCAACUCUGUGACAUUCUAGAAAAGGUCAACAUUACUUGAUGUUCAGAAGUGGGAUCCAAAAAGGACCCCACAAAACUCCCAGGCUGGUGAGGACACAGGUGCCAGUACCCGCAGAGCCCACUGAGCUUGCUGCCUUCUAGCUGACCCUGGAGUUUGAGGCUUGCAGGAUUUUGGUUCAUGAGCUGGGGGUCUGGCCUGAACUCCUGUGAUGGGAGCUCCAAGUCCGAAACACUGGCCUAACAGAGAACCUCAGACCCCAGGGAAUAUUCACCAGAGUGAGGUCUCCCGGAGGUCCUCAUCUCAGCACAAAGACCCAGCUCUACACAACAGCCUAUAAACUCCAGUGCUGAAAGCCUCAGGCCAAACAACCAGUAAGACAGGAACACAAUCCCACCCAUCAGAAA
Molecule: long non-coding RNA, 789 nt
Organism: Physeter macrocephalus (sperm whale)
Lineage: Eukaryota; Metazoa; Chordata; Mammalia; Artiodactyla; Physeteridae
Exons: 4
Source: RefSeq, a predicted model, not a curated record